AUUGAAAAAAUAACAGAAGCUCAAUAUGCGUUGUUCAUACCAUACAGAAUCUUUGUGUGUGGUAGGAGGCAAGUUCUGGCGGAGAAUUUGUAAACAAAAGUUCGUACAAUGCGAAUGCAAAACUUGUAAUAAAAAGAUACAUGAAUUGAUACUUUUUAAGUAAAUAAAUAUAAAGCGGUACCUAAAACAGGAAACAUGGAUUAAGAAAAUUGAGUAGAAGUUAUAUGAUACAGAUUAGCGUAAGCAGCGUUUUCAAACAAAAUAUAUGCAUUUUUUAUUUUUCUGAGCUAGAAUUUGAUGUUCGUUGAUAAAUAAAAUAAGUUUUAUGGAAGUUAAUACGAAAACUGAUUGUAAAUCCCAUUGCUGGUAUAUUGUUAGCAAAAAA
Schizosaccharomyces pombe (fission yeast) is the source of this 385-nucleotide non-coding RNA. The record is from the annotation of a GenBank genome assembly. Lineage: Eukaryota; Fungi; Ascomycota; Schizosaccharomycetes; Schizosaccharomycetales; Schizosaccharomycetaceae.